This 1125-nucleotide small RNA is filed under the name Pongo abelii (Sumatran orangutan). RNAcentral's name for it is "processed transcript". The record is from RNAcentral. Lineage: Eukaryota; Metazoa; Chordata; Mammalia; Primates; Hominidae.
AGAGGCUCCUGUCGGCGGCGCCCGGGAGCGGCUCGGCUGCCCGAUGCUUCCGCCCCGGCUGCCGCGGGCCGGGCUGUACGCUUAGUGCCCGGCUCAGGCCCCCUGAAGCGCCUGCGGGGGUGAGAGCGGCCUCCGGCCCCGCGGAGACGGAGCGGCUUGAGGACGAGGCGGCGGCCGCGGGGAGGAGGAUGGGGGCUAACCAGUUAGUGGUGCUCAACGUGUACGACAUGGUGAGUGCGGCCCCUGGCGGCCCCGAGCCCUGGCCCAGGCCGGCUUCCUCUCGCCGGUCGGGCUCGGACCCCGGCCCCGGGCGCUUCCUGCCUCGCGUCUCCGCCUCCAGCCUAGUUCUCGGGGGAAGCCGGGGGUAAAGGAGGGAGUAUUGUUAUUUUUUAAUCCUGGCACUCGUCGACGCUCCGGUGAACCCAGUCAGCCCGAGGGUUUUGGCCAAAGCUCGGGUGGGCUUGAACCUCUCCCAUCCGCUCAGCUUGGCCCCGACCCCGGCUCUGGGCCCGACCCCUUGGCCGCCGUGCAGUGUCCUUUCGGCAAAGCUUCCGUUGCGUUUCCAACCCCACUUGCCGGCCCCCGGGGCUGCCCCAGGACCCCCGUCCCGACCGCCUGCGCUCCCAGCUCCUCUGCUUCUGCCGAACUGUACAUCUCUCUCCAUGGCUACGUCUUCAAAAACUCCCAAGCCCCUCUAAGUCCAGAAAGUCACAGCUUUCGGGUGCCUGUGCUAGAAUCUCUUCAAAGGUGAACAGGAGCCAACACACCCUUUCCUUGUGUGUUAAAGGCAGCCUCGUUAAAAUAUGAAUGAGGCUAACAUUUAUCAAGAAAAUAGCCCAGCUGAAUUAUUUAGAGAUCCUGGUGGUGCUCCUUUGCUACACUCUGAAGACCACUUUCCAGAUUGGGCUGCUGCGGAUCAUUUCUUUUCUUCCAUAACUCUGCCGUAUGCAUGAAAAUAAUUCUAUUGGGGUCACCAGUAUUAACUUCCUUCUCAUGGAAGAAGAGUGUGAUCCUCAGGAGGUUACUUAAUCAUGCAUAGUGUUCCUAUUGCUUGCUGCCUUCUCAGUGAUUAUGUUCCUCUGUGUACUUUGGAGUAAUCUACCACCAAUAAAAACGUCGUAGAGC